CCAGUUUCAGGUAUGUCUUUAUCAGCAGCCUGAAAACAGACUAAUACACCUCCCCACAGCUGACUUAGUGCUCUGCCAGUGGGUUACAGUUUUCCAGAAGGAGCUGCAGUCAAGGACUCAGGCCGCCUAGGGCAGCCACCCAUUCCUCACCCAAACACCUCCAUUCAAGGCCUCCUUAUCUUAUGACCAAGAUACUUUCAUCCACUCUGACCCAGUACUUUUCUAGUCCUAGACUUCCCCUACUCCCUUCUGUCAGUCCCCUGGACCAUAAAAUGUCAGGAGUCAUUUGUUCAGGGCUCUUUGGUAGUGAGAUGAUUUUCCCUGUCUGAGCUGAUUCAUCUGACCCUUGCCUACUGCCAUUCCCUGGGGAAAAAAUGGAAUGUUAGGAAGCUGGUGCUUAUUUUUGCCUCUUGUUUACACUAUUUCUGUAAGUGAUUAAGGCUUGAUUGUUAACUUUCAGUUUGGCUUAUUGUUCUGACUGACCACCUAAUCCUGGCCACUGGACAGAAAUUAAGAGCAAAGAAAGUGAUAACCGUUUUAAACAAACAUAGAAUAAAUAAAAACCACAAUAAUAAGGUGGUAUUUGAAAAGAAAACAAGAUGGAAAGAAUAUAUUUCACUGGAAUAGCAUGUGAAUAAGACGUGAAGUUACUGGAAUUAGUGUUCUAAGGUCCUUUUGAAACUGCCUUUGCAAAAUUAUAACAGUAAGAAAAAUCUGACCUAGUUGACUCCAUCUUACUUCUAACCCCAAGCUGUCCUUGGUCAUUCCUGGACAUAGGCCAAGAUAACUUUGAGAGGAAUUUAGUUUACAGUUUAACUUAGAAGCAAGAAUGAUAAUAGUCCCUCCCUGAAACUAACCCUCUCCCUGUUCAAUGGCUGAAACUGCCUUUGUAAGACUAAUGAAAGGCCACAAGAUUAGGAUUAUGGGAGAGGCCCAAGUUCUGCUAAAAUGUAGGCAUAGUUUCUAUAAUUUCUUACUGCUCAGGAGUCAUGUGGCCAGAGGUCCCAAGAUUUAUAACUUCCCCAAUUGCUUCUAUAGGUAUCACUGUUGUAGAACCUAAGACUGGGGAGUUUUUUUUUUUUUAGAUGUUUUUCAGACUGAUCCCAUCUGGACUCAUGACUCAGCUGGUCCUGUGGCUCUGCCCACAGGUGGCCUCACUGCACAAGGACAGUCUUCCAGUGAUGUGAUGGCAUUCCCAACCAAUCAGCUGCACCCAUUCCCUAGUCCCCUGCCCACAAAACUGUCCAUAAAAACCCUAACCUCUGACCCUUCAGGGAGACUGAUUUGAGUGAUAACUCCAGUUCUUCUGCAUAGCUGGCCUCAUGUCAGUUAAACUCUUUCUUUACUGCAAUGCCAUGGUCUCAGGCAAUUGAUUUUGUCUGUGCAGUGGGCAGAAAGAAUAAAUUUAGGAGCUCAUAUGGGAUCCACCCUUGUGGGUGCCUGCUUGCAGUUCAUUGGUUCCCCACAGGUCCGACUGACCUGGAGGUGAGCUCUGACGGCCACUUAUUUCUCCAGAACUGAGGGUCUCUGCUGAUGUCCCUCUGCAGCUGUCCUGCCAGUGAGGCACUGUUGACCCAUCGUGCCUGGGCCUAACUGUCAUGUAGAAAUAGUUUCUGGAAGUCAUCUUUAAACUGGUCUGGGGAGUUCCCUUACACAAGCUCUCUCGCCUGCCGCCACGCAAGACAUGACUCUUUGCUCCUCAUUCGCCUUCAGCCAUGAUUGUGAGGCCUUCCCAGCCAUGUGAAACUCUCGGGAGCCCUCUUGUCUGGAAAGGCUCUUCCCUGCUGGUGCCUCCAGGCUGGGCUGGUUGUUGCUCCUCUAUGCUCCCGAGGUCCUCAGUGCCUGCCUUUAUCAGAACAGAGGCCACAGCGCACCUUGGUUAAAUGUACAGUCUCUGGGACCAGACUGCCUGGACUCACAACUCUGGCUCCGCCAUUUACAGGCUAAGACAUCCUCAAGUCUAAGGACCUUGGUGUUUUCAUCCCAGAGCCCCACACCUUGCAAGUGUCCAGAGCAUAGUCAUUGGAUGAUGCUGUUUCCCACUUACCCUCUGGUUUGACAUGGCUGCAGGAUUGGCAUAUGGAAACUGACUGGGUUGAGAAGAGACUCAAAUAGGGACAGACUGGAGAUGUAGGCUUAGAAAGGAGAGAUUUCCUGAAGCUUUAAUGCUGUGCAAUAGAAAUAUACAGCAUCAACUUCCUUAUACAACUAGGCGGGUCAGCAGGUCACCUGUGGCGGACCCAGGGAGGAUGUCCUCACACCGAACAGGUGAGCUUGGCUCGGAGCAUGGCCAGGAGCCAGCCCAUAGCCACAUGCCACCACUUUCUGGCCUUCACUGUGUUUGCCUUAGUGUCCUCGUCUGUAAAACAGGACUAAUGGCAUCUACCUCACAAGGCUGAUGUUAGAACUUUGUGAGGAAACAGUUUUCAAAAGCUUAGAACAGUGUCUGGCAUGUCCUCAAUUGGCAAGAAAUGUCAGCUCCUCUUGGUGUGAUGAUCACCAAACCCACUUUUUUUUACAAACAGAGUGGGGAGACACCACGUCAUUUUCAUUCUUGUUUCAGGAUCUUGGGAAUUUCUGUUUGUCCAUUUAUGCAUUUGUUUUUGUCUUUAUUUAUUUAUUUAGAGUUCUGGUGGAGAUAAUUUGUUAGCAGGUUUUCUGUUGGAAGGUGCAAGCCUUCUUCCCUAGCCUCAAUAAGUGUGUCCCUGUAGGCAGAGGGGGGCAAUAUAGCUUCUCAAUCUUCGAAGACUUCCUAAGGACAACAUCACUCUCAGGUUGGAAAUUCUCCGAAAUCCCAGCUUCCAGCAACCCACAGUCAAGUAUUCCUAGGGAUAUGAGAGGGUUUUGUUCGCAGUCACAGAACACGUAUAAAUGGGGAUAAACUCAAAUGGUUUGUUGUUUUGGUUAAAGUCAAUAAAAGGGAAGAAGAACAAGGAAAUCAAAUACGGGUCCAGUGGGACCAUCCUCAGUGUAAUAACAGCCUUUCCCAUUAGCUUUCUAAGCAACUUUUAGGCUGCUGAUUUGCCGCAGAAAGACUUUUUAAAAAUGCUUUAGUUUCAUACAUGGAAAGAAGCCCUCAGGGUGAAUUGCUGGCUGCCCUACAUUAGAGGCCUAGCAGUAAGAACCAUUAGCUCUAAAGAGAGGUUAAUUACGAGGAGAACUCCCUGGCCUAAGCUGAGGGAGUUACAGUGAUUCCCAGUGAGAGGCUAAUCAGGAGGCAGCGUUGGGUGGCAACAGCCCUCUCCUGGACAAGGGCUUAAUGGGAGUGUCUAAUACCAUUUGCAGUGUUUGGGUUUAUGUGGGGACCAGGGGUCCUUUUGUGUUUGGGUUCAUUAGCUUCAGGGAUUAUUGCCUAUGGGGAUUCACUAACAAGUAGCAGGGGAAGGCGGGAAGAGGCAAGAUGAGCUGGAGAGAUUCAGCAAGACCUCUUAUUCUAUAAAAUUAAGAUCUUGAUGAAACCCCAGACUUUGUCCAGGGCUGGCUCCUUGGUCUAUCUGGAUUGGCAAAUAGGUGUAGACAACAUAUUACAGGAUCUUACACCCCAUGUCAUCUAUUCCAGAUGAUUCUGCAAUCAGCUGUGCCUUAAAACAUGUUCAUGAAAGCUACUCUUGAUUUCCAAGAAACUGCAUGAGAUUUCGUUUAGAAGCCCUUGAAAACAAAGUUUGUAUUUUGUCAAGAAAAGUUUGUUUAGAGCCAGCAACACAAUUUCCAACCCAUUCACCACCCUCCACCAACAUUCUGAGGGCAAAUAGGAAUCCAGGAUGUGCAAAAUUUAGGAACUUUUCUCCAAAAGAGAAAAGUUUUCUCCAAAAGAGACAAAAUAUAUAUAAGCAUCAGAUUCCACAGUUACUAACUGAGCACCUACUAUGUGCUUGACACUGUGCAGAGUACUUUGCUUUGCUCCACGAUUCCCACAAUGCUCAUUACUCCACGGGACAGGGGUAUGGUUAUCAGUUCUGCAGAUGGUGAGACUGAGGCCUACAGACUCACAAAAGGCCACACAAUGAGAGCAGAGCCAGCCUCUGUCUUCCAGUCCUUUAACUUUGGUCAUUUUUCCUGUCCUCUGCCCUGCCUCAACAGAAUAACCCAAAUAGUUACCUGUAAUGGAAAUUAGAACCAUUGUAACAAGUAUUCACAAGUAUUUAGCUUAAGGGAAGAAAUGUUAAAAUGUCUCUCCCUGUGGGUUACUGAGUGUGACACCCCCUGACCUCACCCACCCUCUACAAGUGGGGGCCAGGAGCCCUGUUGUGUGUUGUUGUUGUUUGUCUUCCCAACUUUGGAGUGAAUAAGUAUGCAGAUAAACCCUGUGACAAAUAUCAGGUAAAUCUGAAGUGGCUGUGUGUGUUGACAUUUCAUUUUUAUUAUGUUUUCAAUAUCUGCGAAAAUUUUCAAUAAAUAAAUUUUUCUUAUGACACCUUCAAAUUGAAUUAUAUUUUAAGAAUAUCUACUUCGCUGUGCUGGCACUGGAUGAAAUUCUACCAUUUUGAACUUCUGCUCUUCAUGCCCAUGUGACAAUUAAGGUAAUUAUAUAACAUCUUACUGAAUGAUGAUCUUGUCACAGGUUAAUAAAAAUUAAUGUAUUUCUAUUCUUCACUCUUUAGUUUCUUAUCAACAUUCAGCUUAAGCAUUUUUAGCUUUUAAAUAUUGUACAUUUGGCAAUGUCUAUAAGACAUUUCCACUUGAGUUCAGCCAAGGCGGUAUGCAAAUGAGGAGCUGACACUGUUCUGUAAGUCAGCAGAAUGCGGUGGGUAACAGUCUGGUUUCUGGAGCCAGCUUGCCUGAGUUUGGUUCCUGGUAUACCAUCAUUUCUGCUGUUGAUCUUGGGCAAGUUACUGCACCCAGCUCCAUCUUAUGUUCUCUGUAAAAAUAAGAUUAAACAUGCCCCUGCCCCACUUGGUUCCUGUAAAACCAUUAUUUAUGGAAAGUGUUUAGAACGAUGCCUGGAAUAUAGUAACUCUAUAUAACUAAUUGCUGUUAUUAUCAUUAUGUAGGAAAAACAAUGAAUAAGACCUAAAAAAUUUGGAAGGCAGCUACUGGGACAUCAGGAAUCAGGACUUGUGUAUGCUGGGCCUCACCACCAUGACCUUCCAGAACUGAAGAACUUGCAGUACUAAAGCACUUAAUGAUUACCUUAGUCCAUCUGUGCUGCCAUCACAAAAUGCCACAGAUGGAGUAAUUGAUCAAGAACACAACUUUAUUUCUUGCAGUUCUGGAGGCUAGGGAAUCCAAAACCAAGCUUCCUGGCAUUGGCGUCUAGUGAGGGCUGCCCUCUGCUUUCAAGGCGGCGCCUUGUUGCUGUGUCUUCACAUAGCAGAUGGAAGGGCAAGAGGGCUGAACACUGUAUGAAGCCUCUUUUAUAAGGGCCCUAAUCUGAUUCAUUAGAUCUCCACUCUCAUGACUUAAUCACCUCCUAAAGGCCCCCUCUUAACACUGUCACAUUGGUGAUUAAGUUUCAACAUAUGAAUUUUGGAGGGGACACAAACAUUCAAGCCAUAGCAGUGAUAUAGUCAUGACUCUUCUCCCCUAACUCACCUCUCAGGCCUGUAAUGUUCAUGCUUUUUUCAGUCUAUUAAAUAAAUCAGCUCGUAGUUCACAAAAUAUAGGCAAACAAUCUUAAGAUGUGAAAGUAUAAAUAAGUAGCCACUUAGCAAAAAGUUUGAUUCUCGUAGGCAGAAUUUAUGGGAUGUGUUAAGCAUAAGAUAAGCAGAUAGCAAGUAGAACGUGUGUGUUAUACCGAGAUUGAGUAGGAUGAAAGGACCGAGAAAUAGCUAAUAUUUAUGAUGCAGUUGAGUAUUAAAUAUUUGUAACGUACUAGAUAGACAUUUAGACAUAAGGCUAAACACCAAGAGGUACCAAAUAGACAUGAGCAUUUUAUAUACAUGAUCUCCUAAUUUGGCAACCUAUUGGCUAUAUCUUUCUGGUCCAAUGUGUCCUCUGCCUCCAAAAACAAAUAGAACUUAUGGCUGCUCAUCUUGCUAACUGGCAAGCUAUAGCUGUCACCAGGCAUACUUGUCCUUAUAUCUCUAGUAGAACAGGGAUGUGAUAUCAACCCAGCAAAUCCAUCCCUAUCUAUCUAUAUCAGGGAUUCCCAAGGCCACCCUCAUAUUCAAUGAUUUUCUGGAAGGACUCACAAAAAUCAGAAAAGCAGUUAUACUCAUGAUUACAGUUGAUUAUAGCAAAGGCUAUAGAUGAAACUUGGCAAAGGAAAAUACGCAAAGGGUGGAGUCCAGGAAAGACAAAGUCCAAGCUUCUAGUUGUCCUCUCCCAAUGGGGUUGUAUGAACAACACUUAAUUCUCCCAGAAAUGAUGUGUGAUACUACAUACAAAGUACUGCCAACCAGGAAGUUUAACCAUGCUUUAAACUUGGUGUCCUGGGUUCUUACUGGAGUUUAGCCACAUAGGCAUAGAGUGCCCAUGUAGCUUAUCUUAGCUACUCAAACCCUAGGCCCCCGCUGCCCCCUAGAGGUCAAACUGAUAGCAUAUGGCCCAAGUCUACCACCUAAAUCACAUUUUUAGCAUAAACUAUCUGGUAUGGCCCAGGGCACUGGGCAAACGGUAGCACUCUUAUCAGUAAGGAUAUUCCAAAGGCUCAGGAAUUAUCUCCCUGAACUAGUCCAAGGGCCAGUCCUUUCUUUGGGAUGUACAGGUUUGAACACCCCAGACCCACUGAGUUAACCCUUUCCUGCACAGUGGGGUCCUUCCACUCCACUUGUGUCUGAUCCUAAGUGCAUUAACUUACCCCGUCUCUCUCCUCUUGCGUCUCACUUUGUGUUUUAAAUUGACUUAAUAACUUUGCUAUUUGCAAAUUUUAAUCUGCCUUUUAAUGAGCCCUUCUGGGAUAGCUUGCUUGAUAGUGUAUUUGUAGACUAUCAUUUCAGACUAUCAUUUCAUGUACUUUGAGCUAACUUCUCACCAGACAUGUCCAGCCUUCAUCAUUUGCUUUACCCACCCAUCAUUAGGUGGGUAAAGAGAGGUGGUAUAUUAGUGUGCUUUUCCUGAGCUAUGCCAUGGAGGCAAACAAUACCAAUGCUUACAGUGACCAUGGUUAUAAAUUAGGAAUCUGUACAACCUACCACAGUGGGAUAGAGAGGAGGAGAAAGCUAAAAAAGCAGAUUUUUGAGAGUAUUAUUAUAGGCUUGGUCUUGUUCAUUGCUUCUGGGCACUGCUGACCACAAUUUGCCUACAAGUCACAUUUAGUGAAUGCCCACUACAGACCAGGCACCAUGCUAACCACUCUAGAUGAAUUAGCUUAUCCUCACAAAAACCUAUGAAGUAGGUAUUAUUUAUAUCUUCACCAUUUUAUAGAUGGGUAGAUGGAGGUACAAAGGAACUUUGAGCUUGUGUGCUUUGUCAACAGUGGAGCCAGAAUUCAAAGGCUGGUGACAAAGUUCACACUCUUAACCACUCUGCUAGGCUGUUUGGGCUCUCUCAUUGGUUUGUCUCGGCUACCUGGCAUACA
Molecule: long non-coding RNA, 7459 nt
Filed under: Homo sapiens (human)
Lineage: Eukaryota; Metazoa; Chordata; Mammalia; Primates; Hominidae
Description: HSALNT0348593
Source: RNAcentral